AUUGAACGCUAGCGGGAUGCCUUACACAUGCAAGUCGAACGGCAGCGCGGACUUCGGUCUGGCGGCGAGUGGCGAACGGGUGAGUAAUGUAUCGGAACGUGCCCAGUAGCGGGGGAUAACUACUCGAAAGAGUAGCUAAUACCGCAUACGCCCUACGGGGGAAAGGGGGGGAUCGCAAGACCUCUCACUAUUGGAGCGGCCGAUAUCGGAUUAGCUAGUUGGUGAGGUAAAGGCUCACCAAGGCGACGAUCCGUAGCUGGUUUGAGAGGACGACCAGCCACACUGGGACUGCGACACGGCCCAGACUCCUACGGGAGGCAGCAGUGGGGAAUUUUGGACAAUGGGGGCAACCCUGAUCCAGCCAUUCCGCGUGUGCGAUGAAGGCCUUCGGGUUGUAAAGCACUUUUGGCAGGAAAGAAAUCGCACGGAUUAAUACUCUGUGUGGAUGACGGUACCUGCAGAAUAAGCACCGGCUAACUACGUGCCAGCCGCCGCAGUAA
This 500-nucleotide ribosomal RNA is filed under the name uncultured bacterium. RNAcentral describes it as "partial 16S ribosomal RNA". It matches the Rfam family "Bacterial small subunit ribosomal RNA", at positions 30 to 523 of the family's 1533-position model. The record is from RNAcentral.